RNAcentral lists this long non-coding RNA (214 nucleotides) under Elaeis guineensis (African oil palm). RNAcentral's name for it is "long non-coding RNA (EGUI_LNC025292)". Lineage: Eukaryota; Viridiplantae; Streptophyta; Magnoliopsida; Arecales; Arecaceae. The record is from RNAcentral.
GGGUGUAGUCUGAAGCCGUCUAACUUGAAAUCACAUAUGGUGCGAUCCUACGCGACGUGGGGUUUUAGAAGUGGUGUCUCCUGACACCUCUCUUUUAAGGUUGUGACGUCUGAUGGGGCUCACUACUUUCAAGGGGCGUCCAGGUUCUCUUCAUAUUCUGGUUCGAAGAAGGAUUGUACAUUAUUAAACUCCGGUACGUGGGCCAAUGACAAUC